GUUAAAAAGCUCGUAGUCGGAUUUCAGUAUUAGGCCCUUCUUCCAAUACGGUUGCUAGUGGUCUUUACUUCCUUAACAGAAUCUUUCAUCUCAUUAAUUUGGGGUGUUUGGGGCCUGUUUCUUUUACUUUGAGAAAAAUAGAGUGUUCAAAGCAGGCCUGAUGCCUUGAAUAAUGUAGCAUGGAAUAAUGAUAAAGGACUUUGGUUCUAUCUUGUUGGUGUUCGGAACCGAAGUAAUGAUUGAUAGGGACAGUUGGGGGCGUCUGUAUUCUGAAGCGAGAGGUGAAAUUCUUAGACCUUCGGAAGACAAACAGCUGCGAAAGCGUUCGCCAAGGAUGUUCCCUUUGAUCAAGAACGAAAGUUGGGGGAUCGAAGACGAUCAGAUACCGUCGUAGUCUCAACUAUAAACUAUACCAGCUAGGGAUCGGCCAACGUUGACUUCAAAAGACUUGGUCGGCACCUUAUGAGAAAUCAAAGCAUCUGGGUUCCGGGGGGAGUAUGGUCGCAAGGCUGAAACUUAAAGGAAUUGACGGAAGGGCACCACCAAGCGUGGAGACCUGUGGCUUAAUU
This 569-nucleotide ribosomal RNA is filed under the name uncultured marine eukaryote. Its description in RNAcentral is "bacterial SSU rRNA". It matches the Rfam family "Eukaryotic small subunit ribosomal RNA", at positions 618 to 1195 of the family's 1831-position model. The record is from RNAcentral.